CCAAGGUUACCAGAGUCCUGACUGUUCAAGAAAACCUGGAAGUCAGGAUUUUAUACACAACCAUUUAAUAUUUUUUGAAGUGAUAUUCACAUAACAUAAAGUUAACUAUUUUAAACUGAAUAAUUCAAUGGCAUUUAGUACAUCGUUCAACCACCAUCUCUAUCUAGUCCCAAAACAUUUUAAUCACUCCAAAAUAAACCUACCCAUCAGGCAGUUUCUCACCAUUCCUCCCCACCUCCACCUGGCAAACACCAACCUGCAUUCUGUCUCUAUGGAUUCACCUAUUCUGGACAUUUCAUACAAAAGGAAUACAGGAUAUGUGACUUUCACAUCUGGAUUCUUUCAGGUAGCACAGGUUUUGAAAGUUCAUCCUCAGUGUAGCAUGUAUCAGUGCUUCAUUACUUUUUCAGGCUGAAUUAUACUGCAUUGUUUGCAUAUCCCACCAUUUGCUUAUCCAUUCUUUCUUUGAUGGACAUUUGUGCUGUUCCUACCUUUUGGCUAUGUGAUCAUGUUGCUGCUGUGAACAUUCAGGUUCAAGGAUUUGCUUGAGUACCUGUUUCAAUUCUUUUGGGCGUAUACCUGUGACUGGAAUUGCUGGAUCAUAGGAUAAUUCUAUGUUUCACUGUUUGAAGAAUCGCCAAACUGUUUUCCACAGCAGCCGAAUCAUUUUACAUGCCCACCAGCAACUUAUGAGGGUUCCAAUUUCUCCAUGGAAUGAAUCACACCCAUUGAACACCAUGGAGGAAUCACACCCUUGAACACCAUCCUCAUCUCCCCCAUGGUGGAGGCCCCUCCCCAUCUCCCCCUUCUCCAAGUCUGUGUGUGCCACACUGAUCACAGUGUCCUUGUGAUAUGUGUCAGUACAGUCCUGUCCUAUGUCCCCAUUAAAUGCAAGACCAUGGCCAAUGCUGGGUCUCAGUUUCCUCAUACAGAUGGAGGAUGUUCUUCCUGUCACAUAGGCUGGGCUGAGGCCAGAGAUCCCGGGGUGAGCACCUGGUGCUCCUGACACACAGCAAGCUCUCACCAGUGUGUUAUUUCCCCACAUCGACCCGAGGCCUGUUCCCCAGGGUCUGAAGGGCAAGUUUCCUUGUGAUCACUCCAGGUGGGGAGUGUGCACCAUCCCUGUGAUCAAUGGAAAGCACUUGUGUUAAUUUAUAAACCUGGGCACAGAGCAGCAGGAGACAUGGAGCGGUUCUGUGUAAAGUCCACAAGUGAUUCUGAAUAUUCGUUUAUUUAAUCUUUUCUCAAUUUAUUUCUACCACGUAUACCUCUAAAUAUGUGUCCUUUCUUAAAUUUAUACAGUGCUAACAGAUGUUUUAAAAUUUAUGUUUCUGAGCAUUUACUGAAUCAAGCAGCCAUGUGCCCCCCGCCCAGUCUACUGACCUGAGCGCAGGUCUACCGUGUUGAGCAGCACACUCUCUGAGCCUCAGAUCCCCUGUUUAGAGAUGGUGAACUCUCCACUCAGAGGUGAGAACACUCUGCAGAAACGCUCUAGCUACGUUCAUUAGUUUUGGAAAACCACAGAAGAAAUGCCCCUGAGAGCCCAGGGGAGAGAGAAAUGGACGACGAAGCUAGAAGGAAAUUCCACAUCUCUGAGAUGAAGAGAAGACACUAAGGCACAAAUAAAUACAUAAAUAAGCGUUAUGAUCCCUAAGAUUGGAAAUGAUGUGAAGAGUAAACACAUCAGAACCAUUAAAGAGAUGUGCCAGAUGCAAAUAAGAAAGAAGCCCCAACCUUGGCAGAAGAGGAAGUUCAAGGAAACGUGGGCUCCGGCUCUGAGCCCGGGAACGCAGGAUCACAGGGCGGCAGCUGAACCUGUGCAGGAGGCGAGCUCAGCGCGGUCGUGAAGGCACCUUCGCCUGCUGUCCCGACUCCUGUCCUAUGACAAGAGCUGCUCUGACUAACGCACACACAGGCCUGCAGCCGUCACACACCACCCCGCGUCUCAGUGGCUUAAAACCACUGUGCGUUUCUCACCCGCGCCUCACGUCCCUCCUGGACUGACAGCGGUGCUCCGCUCGGCACGGGCUCCAGGACGCAGGCUGCUGCGGCCAGUCACCACGCCACUGGGAGGGGGGUGCGGAGGAGCUGGACAAGGAAGUCAGAAGUGCCUCGGGCCGCCUCGAGUCAGCAACCCCAUCGUCCCAGGCGAGCUUUGCGUGUCAUUAGGCAGCAUCCCUGGUUUCCAGAUCGAGUGGAGAAGCACAGGCUGUCUGACACCUCACGAAGUCUGUGGAUGACUCACCAGCUUCGGAGUUCACAGAGCAGGUUAAAAUUUCAAAUUCCCUCAGAGCCUCCAGACGUUCUGGAGCUCAGUAUGUUUUAUCUUCAAUCAACGCACAAACCCCGCAUCUUCACGCGGAGACACUCAGGCCUCAGGCUUCCAACUACGAAAGCACCACCUUGAGGAGGACGUCACGGUGGACCCGGAGAGGCGCUGGCCCGUGGCUGGGCUGUGGGGAGACUGGUGGGAAUCCACGGGACAAGGGGCGGGAUGGCCAAGCUCUGCCCGGGACAGUCCGGGUGGCCUUAGUCCGCGGGUCUCCAGCUCUGUCCAGGACUGUCCGGGUGGCCUCAGUCCCGUGGGUCUCAUGCUCUGGCUGAGGUCGGCGGGUCUGGAAGCCGCAGGUCCAGGACCGGAAGUCAGGAGGAAAGGCCACAGGCCACGUCCCCGCCUCUCCUCCCGUCAGGGUCUCUGUUUGGGGCAGCCGGGGCCUCGGGACAGUGACCUAGACUCCCUGUAGGACACCGGGAGUGGCCUCCAGCAUCCCCCUCUUCUUCCAGGAGCCCCCAGCUUUCAUCAGGAAUCCGCCAUCCCCCCAUCCCACCCAGACCAGUGAUCCUGGAUGGGCUCCCUUGGCUCCAGGGGGCGCUGUGAUCUCGUCAGUUCAAGCGAAGGUGGGCCCUGGCUGCAGUGAUUGGUUCAGGGAUGUCACAUGACCUGGGUGUGUCCAAUCAGAGUGAAGGUCUGGACUUGCCUGCCAGCCAACAGGAAAGGUUCUUACACUAUCCACUGGCUGUGUCCUGACUGCCGGGAUUGGUUCAGGGACGUCAUAUGACCUCCGCCUGUCCAAUCAGAGUGAGUGUCAGGAGCAGCCAGGCUAACAGGAAAGCCUUGGCCGUGAGAGGAGGUGAGGACGGCGCUCCGCCACCAUCUUGUCGCCGUCGAGGGGCCUAGAGGUGUCAGAUGAGAGAGAUGGGGUCCCGUUCAUGAAGCCAGACGGCCGAGGUGCAAACCAGAGUCCGUGACGUCGUGGAGCCCUGGAUCUGGGGUCCCGAGGGGCCUGCCCACCGCUGCCCCGGCCCGCGGAGCGGACGCAGCCGUCUCUCAGCCGGUGGGCGGCCGAGGGCCUGUCGUCGCCGCGAGCUACGCCUGGUCGGAGGGCGGCUUGGCCUCGAGAGCAGCCCCGCCGAGGCCCGGCCCCAGAAGACAGGGCAGGGCGGUGAGGCGGGCGGUGGGUACGGACGUCGCGGCGGCUCCUGCGGUCCCCGCGACCCAGGACGGCCCGAGGCCGGCGUGUCCGAGUCUCCGCCGGCCCACCUCUCUGC
RNAcentral lists this long non-coding RNA (3549 nucleotides) under Equus asinus (donkey). RNAcentral describes it as "lncRNA (ENSEASG00005026688.1)". The record is from RNAcentral. Lineage: Eukaryota; Metazoa; Chordata; Mammalia; Perissodactyla; Equidae.